This 468-nucleotide ribosomal RNA is filed under the name uncultured bacterium. RNAcentral's name for it is "partial 16S ribosomal RNA". It matches the Rfam family "Bacterial small subunit ribosomal RNA", at positions 28 to 507 of the family's 1533-position model. The record is from RNAcentral.
GACGAACGCUGGCGGCGUGCUUAACACAUGCAAGUCGAACGGAAAGGCCCUGCUUUUGUGGGGUGCUCGAGUGGCGAACGGGUGAGUAACACGUGAGUAACCUGCCCUUGACUUUGGGAUAACUUCAGGAAACUGGGGCUAAUACCGGAUAGGAGCUCCUGCUGCAUGGUGGGGGUUGGAAAGUUUCGGCGGUUGGGGAUGGACUCGCGGCUUAUCAGCUUGUUGGUGGGGUAGUGGCUUACCAAGGCUUUGACGGGUAGCCGGCCUGAGAGGGUGACCGGCCACAUUGGGACUGAGAUACGGACCAGACUCCUACGGGAGGCAGCAGUGGGGAGUAUUGCACAAUGGGCGGAAGCCUGAUGCAGCGGCGCCGCGUGCGGGAUGACGGCCUUCGGGUUGUAAACCGCUUUCGCCUGUGACGAAGCGUGAGUGACGGUAAUGGGUAAAGAAGCACCGGCUAACUACGUG